UGGGGAAUAUUGCACAAUGGGGGAAACCCUGAUGCAGCGACGCCGCGUGAACGAAGAAGGUAUUUGUAUCGUAAAGUUCUGUCCUAUGGGAAGAUAAGGACAGUACCAUAGAAGAAAGCUCCGGCUAAAUACGUGCUAGCAGCUGCGGUAAUACGUAUUGAGCGAGCGUGUUCCGGAAUUAUUGGGCGUAAAGGGUACGCAGGCGGUUUAAUAAGUCGAAUGUUAAAGAUCGGGGCUCAACCCCGCAAAGAAAUGGAAACUGUACUGCUUACGUAGUGGAGAGGAAAGUGGAAUUCCUAGUGUGGUGGUGAAUUACAUAGUUAUAAGGAAGAAUACCAGUAGCGUAGGCGACUUUCUGGACACAACCUAACGCUGAGGUACGAAAGCGAGGGGAGCAAACAGG
This 403-nucleotide ribosomal RNA is filed under the name bacterium. Its description in RNAcentral is "partial 16S ribosomal RNA". It matches the Rfam family "Bacterial small subunit ribosomal RNA", at positions 355 to 776 of the family's 1533-position model. The record is from RNAcentral.